GGAGGAUCCAAGCGUUAUCCGGAUUUAUUGGGUUUAAAGGGUGCGUAGGUGGUUCUUUAAGUCAGGGGUGAAAGACGGCAGCUUAACUGUCGCAGUGCCCUUGAUACUGAAGAACUUGAAUACACUAGAGGUAGGCGGAAUGUGACAAGUAGCGGUGAAAUGCAUAGAUAUGUCACAGAACACCAAUUGCGAAGGCAGCUUACUAUGGUGUUAUUGACACUGAGGCACGAAAGCGUGGGGAUCAAACAGGAUUAGAUACCCUGGUAGUCCACGCCCUAAACGAUGAAUACUCGAUGUUGGCGAUAUACGGUCAGCGUCUAAGCGAAAGCGUUAAGUAUUCCACCUGGGGAGUACGCCCGCAAGGGUG
This 367-nucleotide ribosomal RNA is filed under the name uncultured bacterium. RNAcentral describes it as "bacterial SSU rRNA". It matches the Rfam family "Bacterial small subunit ribosomal RNA", at positions 527 to 896 of the family's 1533-position model. The record is from RNAcentral.